UACUAGAGUAGCACUCGCAUAUCAAUAAGCGGAGGAAAAGAAACUAACAAGGAUUCCCCUAGUAACGGCGAGUGAAGCGGGAAGAGCUCAAAUUUGAAAUCUUAAAGGGUUUCCCUUUACGAAUUGUAGUUUAAAGAAGUGUUUUCUGUUGAGGUUUUGGUAAAAGUUCUUUGGAAUAGGACAUCAUAGAGGGUGAGAAUCCCGUAUUUGACCUUUACUUUCAACUUUGUGAUACACUUCCAAAGAGUCGGAUUGUUUGGGAAUGCAGUCCAAAAUGGGUGGUAAAUUUCAUCUAAAGCUAAAUAUUGGCGAGAGACCGAUAGCGAACAAGUACCGUGAGGGAAAGAUGAAAAGAACUUUGAAAAGAGAGUUAAACAGUACGUGAAAUUGUCAAAAGGGAAGCGUUUGACACCAGUGUUGUUUUUCUGAAAAUCAAUUAAAGAACUGUUUAUGCUAAGCUGUUUAGACUUUAUCAGCUAUCUGUUUAGUUUUGAGCUUUUCUUUAAUGCACUUUUCAGUUAACAAGUCAACAUCAAUUUCUUUUGCUGUAAAAAAGCUUGAGGAAGGUGGCUUGAGAUUCGUCUUAAGUGUUUAUAGCCUCUUGCCUAUGCAGUCGGAGAGAUUGAGGUCUGCAGCGUAGAUCCUUCGGGGCUAAAUGCAUUUGUGCUAAGUUAUAGCAUUUCAUAGACAACUUGUUGACUAUGAUUUGUCUUGUAGCUUACUCGCUUAUGUUAUUUUACCUACGCUUAGGAUGUUGAGUCAUCACACAUCUCU
RNAcentral lists this ribosomal RNA (774 nucleotides) under uncultured Neocallimastigales. RNAcentral describes it as "partial large subunit ribosomal RNA". It matches the Rfam family "Eukaryotic large subunit ribosomal RNA", at positions 20 to 614 of the family's 3401-position model. Lineage: Eukaryota; Fungi; Neocallimastigomycota; Neocallimastigomycetes; Neocallimastigales. The record is from RNAcentral.